Molecule: ribosomal RNA, 1124 nt
Filed under: Bacillus subtilis
Lineage: Bacteria; Bacillati; Bacillota; Bacilli; Caryophanales; Bacillaceae
Description: bacterial SSU rRNA
Rfam family: Bacterial small subunit ribosomal RNA
Source: RNAcentral
AAACCGGGGCUAAUACCGGAUGGUUGUUUGAACCGCAUGGUUCAAACAUAAAAGGUGGCUUCGGCUACCACUUACAGAUGGACCCGCGGCGCAUUAGCUAGUUGGUGAGGUAACGGCUCACCAAGGCGACGAUGCGUAGCCGACCUGAGAGGGUGAUCGGCCACACUGGGACUGAGACACGGCCCAGACUCCUACGGGAGGCAGCAGUAGGGAAUCUUCCGCAAUGGACGAAAGUCUGACGGAGCAACGCCGCGUGAGUGAUGAAGGUUUUCGGAUCGUAAAGCUCUGUUGUUAGGGAAGAACAAGUACCGUUCGAAUAGGGCGGUACCUUGACGGUACCUAACCAGAAAGCCACGGCUAACUACGUGCCAGCAGCCGCGGUAAUACGUAGGUGGCAAGCGUUGUCCGGAAUUAUUGGGCGUAAAGGGCUCGCAGGCGGUUUCUUAAGUCUGAUGUGAAAGCCCCCGGCUCAACCGGGGAGGGUCAUUGGAAACUGGGGAACUUGAGUGCAGAAGAGGAGAGUGGAAUUCCACGUGUAGCGGUGAAAUGCGUAGAGAUGUGGAGGAACACCAGUGGCGAAGGCGACUCUCUGGUCUGUAACUGACGCUGAGGAGCGAAAGCGUGGGGAGCGAACAGGAUUAGAUACCCUGGUAGUCCACGCCGUAAACGAUGAGUGCUAAGUGUUAGGGGGUUUCCGCCCCUUAGUGCUGCAGCUAACGCAUUAAGCACUCCGCCUGGGGAGUACGGUCGCAAGACUGAAACUCAAAGGAAUUGACGGGGGCCCGCACAAGCGGUGGAGCAUGUGGUUUAAUUCGAAGCAACGCGAAGAACCUUACCAGGUCUUGACAUCCUUUGACAAUCCUAGAGAUAGGACGUCCCCUUCGGGGGCAGAGUGACAGGUGGUGCAUGGUUGUCGUCAGCUCGUGUCGUGAGAUGUUGGGUUAAGUCCCGCAACGAGCGCAACCCUUGAUCUUAGUUGCCAGCAUUCAGUUGGGCACUCUAAGGUGACUGCCGGUGACAAACCGGAGGAAGGUGGGGAUGACGUCAAAUCAUCAUGCCCCUUAUGACCUGGGCUACACACGUGCUACAAUGGACAGAACAAAGGGCAGCGAAACCGCGAGGUU